GCCACCGCAUACCACGCCGCAAGUCGCCACCGCAAGUCGCCUCAUGCCGCCGCCGCUCGCCCUUUCUCUGUAGAUCGCCAACGCAACCCUGGGCCCCAGGGUCGUUCCCUCCUCCCCACCAGGCUCGAGGAGGCGGCCACGAGGAGCGCGCAGCCGCCGCAAUCCUGGGCAGAUCUAGCCGGGGCCGUCGGCAGCCAUCCCUCCCUCCGGCCGGCCAUGAGGAAUUGAACCGGCUUGAGCAGAACUAGCGCAUGGACCAUGCGUGCCUCCCGCGCUAGGAGCCACCGGUCCUCGUCAUCUGCUAGCAUCCAGGAGGAAUCGAUCCAUAUAAUGUUUGCGGGGAGCUCGGUUAGUGUCAACACCUCAUGGAUUUAUGCAUAUCAGUUCAUUUUGCUUAAAGCUACUGUAAUGAUGCCUACUGGUUCCAGGGCCGUUGACGAGGAUGUGCGAGGUGGGCGACCGCACAGGGCCCCCAAAAAUUAGGGGGCUUCGAAUCCUGUAUAUGUGUUCUUUGUCACCAUGGAUCUGAGAGUGCCCGAACUGCUCGUUUCGUACAUGGUCACGGCUGACGGCCGCACCGAUACGAGCGGCAUCUUGGUUCCUUUGUGUGUCCUAGGGCGGCGAGGCCCAUGAUCUUGUACAUGGAGCAGUGCAGCAUCGUUGUUGUGCCUCUGCUGUCAUCCGUCACCAGAACAAGCAGGCAUGCACGUUUCCCUUGCCUGACGCAUUCCCAUAGUCCAUGUUUUGGAUCCAGAUUGAAGAGCAAACUCGUGCUACAGCAGCAACCCAGAGCAAAACUCUGAGCUCAGCCAGCAGGUCAACGAAUUACAAGAUCAACUACAAGCUGAACGCGCAAACACACAAGAGAGGAUUAACUUGGAGCGUGCUGAGAAAGAACAAUUUGGGGAGAGGUUAAAAGAAGAGCGUGCUGAAAGGGGAAUAUUGUUGGAAGAAGAGCGAACAUCAAGACUGUAAUUUGAAAAAAACAUGAUGGCAAAUUUUGCAAAAUUGAGCCAACAGAUGGGAACCAGUAGGUGCCAACGAAGAGGAUUAACAAAGAAAAUAGUAGUCUAAACUUGUAAAAUACUCUUUUUUAGAGAUCUAGUCCUAAUAAGACUCUAUGUGCAAGGCUAACUGUUAUUUCUUCAAAUGUGCUCAUACAAGCUGAAUAAGGAAUUCUCAAAUGUUUAAAGCAAUGGAUCAAACGAUCUAGCUCGACUCGACUCUAGAUCACGAACAGUUUAGUCUUGGCCCUUAAGUAGGAUGGCUAAAUUACAUUUGAGUAUCAUUUGAUGGAUAUUUGCUAUGAAAAUUAUGAAUCUACAUAUUAUAUGUAUGGUUUUGAAUAUUGUAAUUGAAUGCCUGUGUUUUUUUAUGGUUACAAUAGGCUAUUACCACAAUCCA
Long non-coding RNA from Triticum dicoccoides, 1404 nucleotides. RefSeq lists it as uncharacterized. The record is from RefSeq and is a predicted model, not a curated record. NCBI's taxonomy places the organism in Eukaryota, Viridiplantae, Streptophyta, Magnoliopsida, Poales, Poaceae. The transcript has 6 exons.